RNAcentral lists this ribosomal RNA (569 nucleotides) under Penicillium aurantiogriseum. RNAcentral describes it as "eukaryotic LSU rRNA". The stretch from base 210 to 362 matches the Rfam family "5.8S ribosomal RNA". Lineage: Eukaryota; Fungi; Ascomycota; Eurotiomycetes; Eurotiales; Aspergillaceae. The record is from RNAcentral.
GUUUCCGUAGGUGAACCUGCGGAAGGAUCAUUACCGAGUGAGGGCCCUCUGGGUCCAACCUCCCACCCGUGUUUAUUUUACCUUGUUGCUUCGGCGGGCCCGCCUUCACUGGCCGCCGGGGGGCUCACGCCCCCGGGCCCGCGCCCGCCGAAGACACCCUCGAACUCUGUCUGAAGAUUGAAGUCUGAGUGAAAAUAUAAAUUAUUUAAAACUUUCAACAACGGAUCUCUUGGUUCCGGCAUCGAUGAAGAACGCAGCGAAAUGCGAUACGUAAUGUGAAUUGCAAAUUCAGUGAAUCAUCGAGUCUUUGAACGCACAUUGCGCCCCCUGGUAUUCCGGGGGGCAUGCCUGUCCGAGCGUCAUUGCUGCCCUCAAGCCCGGCUUGUGUGUUGGGCCCCGUCCUCCGAUUCCGGGGGACGGGCCCGAAAGGCAGCGGCGGCACCGCGUCCGGUCCUCGAGCGUAUGGGGCUUUGUCACCCGCUCUGUAGGCCCGGCCGGCGCUUGCCGAUCAACCCAAAUUUUUAUCCAGGUUGACCUCGGAUCAGGUAGGGAUACCCGCUGAACUUAAG